This 484-nucleotide ribosomal RNA is filed under the name uncultured bacterium. RNAcentral's name for it is "partial 16S ribosomal RNA". It matches the Rfam family "Bacterial small subunit ribosomal RNA", at positions 30 to 507 of the family's 1533-position model. The record is from RNAcentral.
AUUGAACGCUGGCGGCAGGCCUAACACAUGCAAGUCGAGCGGAUGAAGGGAGCUUGCUCCUGGAUUCAGCGGCGGACGGGUGAGUAAUGCCUAGGAAUCUGCCUGGUAGUGGGGGAUAACGUCCGGAAACGGGCGCUAAUACCGCAUACGUCCUGAGGGAGAAAGUGGGGGAUCUUCGGACCUCACGCUAUCAGAUGAGCCUAGGUCGGAUUAGCUAGUUGGUGGGGUAAAGGCCUACCAAGGCGACGAUCCGUAACUGGUCUGAGAGGAUGAUCAGUCACACUGGAACUGAGACACGGUCCAGACUCCUACGGGAGGCAGCAGUGGGGAAUAUUGGACAAUGGGCGAAAGCCUGAUCCAGCCAUGCCGCGUGUGUGAGGAAGGUCUUCGGAUUGUAAAGCACUUUAAGUUGGGGGGAAGGGCAGUAAGUUAAUACCUUGCUGUUUUGACGUUACCAACAGAAUAAGCACCGGCUAACUUCGUG